This 492-nucleotide ribosomal RNA is filed under the name uncultured bacterium. Its description in RNAcentral is "partial 16S ribosomal RNA". It matches the Rfam family "Bacterial small subunit ribosomal RNA", at positions 29 to 507 of the family's 1533-position model. The record is from RNAcentral.
AGUGAACGCUGGCGGUAGGCCUAACACAUACAAGUCGAACGGCAGCACAGUAAGAGCUUGCUCUUACGGGUGGCGAGUGGCGGACGGGUGAGGAAUACAUCGGAAUCUACUUUUUCGUGGGGGGUAACGUAGGGAAACUUACGCUAAUACCGCAUACGACCUACGGGUGAAAGCAGGGGAUCUUCGGACCUUGCGCGAUUGAAUGAGCCGAUGUCGGAUUAGCUAGUUGGCGGGGUAAAGGCCCACCAAGGCGACGAUCCGUAGCUGGUCUGAGAGGAUGAUCAGCCACACUGGAACUGAGACACGGUCCAGACUCCUACGGGAGGCAGCAGUGGGGAAUAUUGGACAAUGGGCGCAAGCCUGAUCCAGCCAUACCGCGUGGGUGAAGAAGGCCUUCGGGUUGUAAAGCCCUUUUGUUGGGAAAGAAAAGCAGCAGGUUAAUACCCCGCUGUUCUGACGGUACCCAAAGAAUAAGCACCGGCUAACUUCGUG